AUACGGGAGGCAGCAGUGGGGAAUUUUCCACAAUGGGCGAAAGCCUGAUGGAGCAAUACCGCGUGAAGGAUGAAGGAUCGUGGUCCGUAAACUUCUUUUCUUAACGAAGAAAAUCUGACGGUAGUUAAGGAAUAAGCACCGGCUAACUCCGUGCCAGCAGCCGCGGUAAUACGGGGGGUGCAAGCGUUGUCCGGAAUGAUUGGGCGUAAAGCAUCUGUAGGUGGUUUUUAAAGUCGACUGUUAAAGCCCAGGGCUCAACUUUGGAUAAGCGGUCGAGUACUUAAGGACUUGAGUAUGGUAGGGGUAGAGGGAAUUCCUAGUGGAGCGGUGAAAUGCACAGAGAUUAGGAAGAACACCGAGGGCGAAAGCACUCUACUGGGCCAUGACUGACACUGAGAGAUGAAAGUUGGGGGAGCGAAAAGGAUUAGAUACCCCGGUAGC
RNAcentral lists this ribosomal RNA (441 nucleotides) under uncultured bacterium. Its description in RNAcentral is "bacterial SSU rRNA". It matches the Rfam family "Bacterial small subunit ribosomal RNA", at positions 339 to 794 of the family's 1533-position model. The record is from RNAcentral.